UGCGCAUCUUCGCUGGUUGUACCGGUACAGCCACGCUGGUUGUACCGGUACAGCAAGCAGAGAAAUCUGCUGUUUUGCAGAUUUCUUCGCUAUAAGCUGCCCUCGCGUCGCACGGAGUCCGUUUUGCGUCUAUUUGACGCCAACGCGACUCGGACUUGUCCCGACACUCUCCAGAGCUGCCGACAAGCCUCCACAGCUGUACACCAGGGAUCUCACAGAGGAGUUGUAUAUUGUAGUCUUAUUUUUCUAAGUAGCGGAGUACUUAGUUUUUUGGGAACCUCUGUCUCUCUCAUCUCUUCUUUUUGCAUACUUAAUCAUAGGGCGCAGAGGUCCAGGCUAGCAAUAAGGAGCUAGGCUUGCCCAUCUUUGAGAAGGAAGGCGAGCGUCGCACGGGCUUUGCGAACAAAAACGCUAAGGCCGUGACAGUUGAUAUCAGAGCCGAUUCGAUGAGGAACCAUGUCGUCAUC
Molecule: long non-coding RNA, 467 nt
Filed under: Ananas comosus (pineapple)
Lineage: Eukaryota; Viridiplantae; Streptophyta; Magnoliopsida; Poales; Bromeliaceae
Description: long non-coding RNA (ACOM_LNC007354)
Source: RNAcentral